This 209-nucleotide unclassified non-coding RNA is filed under the name fungal sp. Its description in RNAcentral is "partial internal transcribed spacer region". The stretch from base 1 to 46 matches the Rfam family "Eukaryotic small subunit ribosomal RNA", at positions 1786 to 1831 of the family's 1831-position model. The record is from RNAcentral. Lineage: Eukaryota; Fungi.
AAGUCGUAACAAGGUUUCCGUAGGUGAACCUGCGGAAGGAUCAUUGCAAAUCGAAAAGGGGUUGGGUGCAGUGGGAUCAAAACCACUGCGUUCCAGCCGCCGACAUUUGGUCGGGACGCGAGUCUCGGAUCAUAUUCACGCUUGUGCCGUUUGACAGAGUAACAAUGUACAUAAUGAGACAACUUUUAACAAUGGAUCUCUUGGCUCUU